GACGGAGGAGGCAAGCGUUGUUCGGAAUUAUUGGGCGUAAAGGGCGCGUAGGCGGGUCAGCAAGUCUGGCGUGAAAUCUCCACCGCUCACCGGGGAGAGGUCGCUGGAAACUACUGACCUGGAGUUCGGCAGAGGACCAUGGAAUUCCAGGUGUAGCGGUGGAAUGCGUAGAUAUCUGGAAGAACACCUGUGGCGAAGGCGGUGGUCUGGGCCGAAACUGACGCUGAGGCGCGAAAGCUAGGGGAGCAAACGGG
RNAcentral lists this ribosomal RNA (254 nucleotides) under uncultured bacterium. RNAcentral describes it as "partial 16S ribosomal RNA". It matches the Rfam family "Bacterial small subunit ribosomal RNA", at positions 524 to 776 of the family's 1533-position model. The record is from RNAcentral.